This 438-nucleotide ribosomal RNA is filed under the name uncultured bacterium. Its description in RNAcentral is "partial 16S ribosomal RNA". It matches the Rfam family "Bacterial small subunit ribosomal RNA", at positions 339 to 795 of the family's 1533-position model. The record is from RNAcentral.
CUACGGGCGGCUGCAGUGGGGAAUAUUGCACAAUGGAGGAAACUCUGAUGCAGCAACGCCGCGUGGAGGAUGACACUUUUCGGAGCGUAAACUCCUUUUAUAUAGGAAGAAGAUGACGGUACUAUAUGAAUAAGCGCCGGCUAACUCCGUGCCAGCAGCCGCGGUAAUACGGAGGGCGCAAGCGUUACUCGGAAUCACUGGGCGUAAAGAGCGUGUAGGCGGAUUAAAAAGUCAGAAGUGAAAUCCUAUAGCUUAACUAUAGAACUGCUUCUGAAACUCUUAAUCUAGAAUAUAAGAGAGGUAGAUGGAAUUUCUGGUGUAGGGGUAAAAUCCGUAGAGAUCAGAAGGAAUACCGAUUGCGAAGGCGAUCUACUAGAACAUUAUUGACGCUGAGACGCGAAAGCGUGGGGAGCAAACAGGAUUAGAUACCCCGUAGUC